AACCUUUAAAAUAUGUAUUUAUUUACAAGCAUUUACAUGCUUGUGAUCGAUUUAUAGGCACAUGCUGUUGAUUGAGUCACAUGCAUACGCUAUCCAAAUUGAGCUACGAACCCUAAAUUCUUAUUUGAUUGGCCUGACAACUCUAGACCCAAACCAUGCUACAUCUGUGGGACAUCCCCAACAAAUGACACCAACUGCGGUGUCCAAGGAUGGAGUAAAGACUGUGGGAUAAACUUGUAUCUUCUGGAAGUAAGCUGAGGCAGUCAGGCAGACUACUGGUAGACCAGAGCUGUAGUCAAGCUGGCUUCAGACAGGAGGCUUCACAAAUAACCCCUGGGCCUUUGCACUCCUAACUCUGGCCUGUGUCUGAGGCUUAACAAAGUAAGAAAGGUUUGGGUUCAUUCUGAGGGGGGGGGGGAAGCCUUUUGGACAGUUUGGGUAUGUGUAGAAUGCAAAGCCUUCCUUUUUACCCUUGAAUCUGAACUCUCUCCUUCAAAGAGGGAGCUUGUGACCAGCUGUUGGCAAAGUGCUGGUCAGGGACCACCCACACCAGGAGAGCCUUCUGAACCCUUUCUGCCCAAGUGCCCCUUGGAGGAGGAAGUCUGCUUCUAUCCCCAAGACUUGUCCUCUGAGGGCUUGAAUUCACUCAGGGGCUCCGCUGGCUCCUCCUGGGCCUCAGCGGGAGGCUUCUCCGAGACAGUGGCCGGCGCCACCACAGCCGCCACCGCCGGAGCCUCGGGCUUCACCUGGAGUGUGCUGGGCGGUUCCCCGGCAUCGCUGCGCAUCUUGACACAGCGCAAGUCUAUGGGCUCAUCCAGGUCUGAGUCCAAAAGGAUGACCUCCGGCUGCGGCAGAGAGGCUGCGGUGGGGGAUACGUUGGCAGGGUGCUCGGAGACCGGGCUGCCCCCGAGGCAGGUCGGCGUGCUGAUGCUGCGGGCAGUCAACCGCUUCUUACAGGGCUCACGCUCGCCAUGGGUCUCAGAGAGGCAGCGCUUGCGCGCAUGGGAGAGGUUCAGGCCCACCGUAUGGUGGUGGUGGUGAUGGUGGUGGUGAUGGUGGUGAUGGGCGGGCGUGUGUGUGCUCCUGGCUGGGUCCCAGGCCAGUAGGUCUGGCUUGGUGGUGAGCUGUAGCGGCUGCUCACCAAAGGCCUCCUUGGUCGGGGAGAGCUUUCGAGACCCUAGGUCCUGGGGCUGAGCGUCCCCCGACACCAGAGCCUCCUCCUCCCUGCGUUUGCAGGGCACUUCAGCUUUCUUCUCCUCAGAAGCACCGGCUGCCUUUUUAAAAGUCCUGUCGCCCUGGGGAUGGCGCUCCUCGGCAGCACGUUUCUUGUGGCUGGGGGAGCGCGCUUCGCCCUCUGCAGCCUCGCCCGACUUGAUUUUCACUGCCUGCAUGCCGUUCUCCAUGUACUUGCUCAUAACGAUCACGAUGCGCCCAUUCUUGUUCUUGUUUUUGACGAUUUUCAUUUUGCCCCCAAUGCCGUUACCGGUCACUGCCUCCUUAGGGGCUGGUGUCAUGCCAUUGGGGGGGC
This 1528-nucleotide long non-coding RNA is filed under the name Mus pahari (shrew mouse). RNAcentral's name for it is "lncRNA (MGP_PahariEiJ_G0004689.1)". The record is from RNAcentral. Lineage: Eukaryota; Metazoa; Chordata; Mammalia; Rodentia; Muridae.